Long non-coding RNA from Galleria mellonella (greater wax moth), 257 nucleotides. RefSeq lists it as uncharacterized. The transcript has 2 exons. Lineage: Eukaryota; Metazoa; Arthropoda; Insecta; Lepidoptera; Pyralidae. The record is from RefSeq and is a predicted model, not a curated record.
GCUGUUUUAAGCUAAAUCCCACAUUAUUCGUAUUAUCUGAUAAUGGUAACAAUGUGGGCAUUGUUGUAGUACAAUGCACAGGUGGUGGAUUGCUUUUAUUUCGUUUUGCAUUGCCGAUCGUGAACUUUACAGAUAACAGGGUCAAGAUGCCAAGUCUGAUUGCCUCCGCAUGAGAUGAGUGUGAAGCAUCCACCGUACACUAUAGGGGGGUCUGUGUCUGGAACGCAGAUGUUAUCCUGGCAGAAGGUGGCUGUUCC